This 402-nucleotide ribosomal RNA is filed under the name uncultured bacterium. RNAcentral's name for it is "bacterial SSU rRNA". It matches the Rfam family "Bacterial small subunit ribosomal RNA", at positions 355 to 774 of the family's 1533-position model. The record is from RNAcentral.
UCGGGAAUUUUGGGCAAUGGGCGAAAGCCUGACCCAGCAACGCCGCGUGAGGGAUGAAGUAUUUCGGUAUGUAAACCUCGAAAGAAUGGGAAGAAUAAAUGACGGUACCAUUUAUAAGCUCCGGCUAACUACGUGCCAGCAGCCGCGGUAAUACGUAGGGAGCAAGCGUUGUUCGGAUUUACUGGGCGUAAAGGGCGCGUAGGCGGCGCGGUAAGUCACUUGUGAAAUCUCUGAGCUUAACUCAGAACGGCCAAGUGAUACUGCUGUGCUAGAGUGCGGAAGAGGCAACCGGAAUUCUUGGUGUAGCGGUGAAAUGCGUAGAUAUCAAGAGGAACACCUGAGGCGAAGGCGGGUUGCUGGGCCGACACUGACGCUGAUGCGCGAAAGCCAGGGGAGCGAACG